GCAUUUACCUGGCCGGGGAGAUGCCAUGAGCACGAAGGUGGCUUUGCCAGGGGAGGCUCACCCAUUGUAUUCUGGCCGUGCUGACCCCUGCGAUCUCCCCAAGUGCUGGAGACUCCACUGCAUAAUAUGUGAUAGUGGGGAACUGUGUUCACACCUUCCCC
This 161-nucleotide small nuclear RNA is filed under the name Octodon degus (degu). RNAcentral's name for it is "U1 spliceosomal RNA (ENSODEG00000021750.1)". It matches the Rfam family "U1 spliceosomal RNA". From Rfam's summary of the family: U1 is a small nuclear RNA (snRNA) component of the spliceosome (involved in pre-mRNA splicing). Its 5' end forms complementary base pairs with the 5' splice junction, thus defining the 5' donor site of an intron. There are significant differences in sequence and secondary structure between metazoan and yeast U1 snRNAs, the latter being much longer (568 nucleotides as compared to 164 nucleotides in human). The record is from RNAcentral. Lineage: Eukaryota; Metazoa; Chordata; Mammalia; Rodentia; Octodontidae.